GACGAACGCUGGCGGCGUGCCUAAUACAUGCAAGUCGAACGAGAGCAACCGGUGCUUGCACUGGUCAAUCUAGUGGCGAACGGGUGAGUAACACGUGGGUAACCUGCCCAUCAGAGGGGGAUAACAUCCGGAAACGGAUGCUAAAACCGCAUAGGUCUUCGAACCGCAUGGUUUGAAGAGGAAAAGAGGCGCAAGCUUCUGCUGAUGGAUGGACCCGCGGUGCAUUAGCUAGUUGGUGAGGUAACGGCUCACCAAGGCCGUGAUGCAUAGCCGACCUGAGAGGGUGCUCGGCCACAUUGGGACUGAGACACGGCCCAAACUCCUACGGGAGGCAGCAGUAGGGAAUCUUCCGCAAUGGACGCAAGUCUGACGGAGCAACGCCGCGUGAGUGAAGAAGGUUUUCGGAUCGUAAAACUCUGUUGUUAGAGAAGAACAAGUGCUAGAGUAACUGUUAGCGCCUUGACGGUAUCUAACCAGAAAGCCACGGCUAACUACGUG
This 498-nucleotide ribosomal RNA is filed under the name uncultured bacterium. RNAcentral's name for it is "partial 16S ribosomal RNA". It matches the Rfam family "Bacterial small subunit ribosomal RNA", at positions 28 to 507 of the family's 1533-position model. The record is from RNAcentral.